RNAcentral lists this ribosomal RNA (805 nucleotides) under uncultured bacterium. RNAcentral's name for it is "bacterial SSU rRNA". It matches the Rfam family "Bacterial small subunit ribosomal RNA", at positions 8 to 820 of the family's 1533-position model. The record is from RNAcentral.
AGAGUUUGAUCCUGGCUCAGGACGAACGCUGGCGGCGUGCCUAACACAUGCAAGUCGAGCGAGGAAUGUCGGAUAGCUUGCUAUUUGAUAUUUCUAGCGGCGGACGGGUGAGUAACGCGUGAGUAACCUGCCUUCAAGAGGGGGAUAACAUUCUGAAAAGAAUGCUAAUACCGCAUGACAUAUCGGAACCACAUGGUUUUGAUAUCAAAGAUUUUAUCGCUUGAAGAUGGACUCGCGUCCGAUUAGUUAGUUGGUGAGGUAACGGCUCACCAAGACCGCGAUCGGUAGCCGGACUGAGAGGUUGAACGGCCACAUUGGGACUGGGACACGGCCCAGACUCCUACGGGAGGCAGCAGUGGGGGAUAUUGCGCAAUGGGGGCAACCCUGACGCAGCAACGCCGCGUGAAGGAUGAAGGUUUUCGGAUUGUAAACUUCUUUUAUUAAGGACGAAAAAUGACGGUACUUAAUGAAUAAGCUCCGGCUAACUACGUGCCAGCAGCCGCGGUAAUACGUAGGGAGCAAGCGUUGUCCGGAUUUACUGGGUGUAAAGGGAGCGUAGACGGUUAAGCAAGUCAGAAGUGAAAGGCUGGGGCUCAACCCCGGGACUGCUUUUGAAACUGUUUAACUAGAGUGCUGGAGAGGUAAGCGGAAUUCCUAGUGUAGCGGUGAAAUGCGUAGAUAUUAGGAGGAACACCAGUGGCGAAGGCGGCUUACUGGACAGUAACUGACGUUGAGGCUCGAAAACGUGGGGAGCAAACAGGAUUAGAUACCCUGGUAGUCCACGCCGUAAACGAUGAAAACUAGG